This is a non-coding RNA of Phrynosoma platyrhinos (Desert horned lizard), 72 nucleotides long. NCBI's taxonomy places the organism in Eukaryota, Metazoa, Chordata, Lepidosauria, Squamata, Phrynosomatidae. The record is from the annotation of a GenBank genome assembly.
GCCAAUGUGGUAUAGCGGUUUGAGUGUCAGAGUAUGACUCUGGAGGCCAGGGUUCGAAUCCUGGCUCAGCCA